GACGAACGCGGGGGGCGUGCUUAACACAUGCAAGUCGAACGGAAAGGCCCUGCUUUUUUGGUGUGCUCGAGUGGCGAACGGGUGUGUAACACGUGAGUAUCCUUCCCUUGACUUUGGGAUAACUUCAGGAAACUGCGGCUAAUACCGGUUAGUAGCUCCUGCUGCAUGGUGUGCAGUGGAUAGUUUCGGCGGUUGGGUAUGUCCUCGCGGCUUAUCAGUUUGUUGGUGUGGUAGCGGUUUACCAUGGCCUUGACGGGUAGCCGGCCUGAGAGUGUGACCGGGGAGAUAGGUGCUGAGGCACGGCAGAGACUCACACGUGAGGCAGGAGUGGGGAACAUAGCAGAAUGGACGGAAGCCUGAUGCCGCAACGCUGCGUGAGAGAUGACGGCCUUCUGGUUGUAAACCGCUUUCGCCUGUGACGAAGCGUGAGUGACGGUAAUGGGUAAAGAAGCACCGGCUAAAUACGUG
Molecule: ribosomal RNA, 468 nt
Filed under: uncultured bacterium
Lineage: Bacteria
Description: partial 16S ribosomal RNA
Rfam family: Bacterial small subunit ribosomal RNA
Source: RNAcentral